UAGGGAAUCUUCGGCAAUGGACGAAAGUCUGACCGAGCAACGCCGCGUGAGUGAAGAAGGUUUUCGGAUCGUAAAACUCUGUUGUUAGAGAAGAACAAGGACGUUAGUAACUGAACGUCCCCUGACGGUAUCUAACCAGAAAGCCACGGCUAACUACGUGCCAGCAGCCGCGGUAAUACGUAGGUGGCAAGCGUUGUCCGGAUUUAUUGGGCGUAAAGCGAGCGCAGGCGGUUUCUUAAGUCUGAUGUGAAAGCCCCCGGCUCAACCGGGGAGGGUCAUUAGAAACUGGGAGACUUGAGUGCAGAAGAGGAGAGUGGAAUUCCAUGUGUAGCGGAGAAAUGCGUAGAUAUAUGGAGGAACACCAGUGGCGAAGGCGGCUCGCUGGUCUGUAGCUGACGCUGAGGCUCGAAAGCGUGGGGAGAAAACAGG
Molecule: ribosomal RNA, 429 nt
Filed under: Gemmatimonadota bacterium
Lineage: Bacteria; Pseudomonadati; Gemmatimonadota
Description: Gemmatimonadetes bacterium partial 16S ribosomal RNA
Rfam family: Bacterial small subunit ribosomal RNA
Source: RNAcentral